UAUGAUGGCGGCGUGCUUACCAUGCAAGUCGAACGAGAACAGAAGAGAGCUUGCUUUCUUGCUGCUAAGUGGCGCACGGGUGAGUAAUGUAUAGGUAAUAUGCCUCUUACUAAGGGAUAAUUGAUGGAAACGCCUUGUAAUACCUUAUAUGCCUUUUGAACAUAAGUUCGUAAAGGGAAAGAUUUAUCGGUAAGAGAUUAGCCUGUAUGGUAUCAGUUAGUUGGUGGGGUAAUGGCCUACCAAGACUAUGACACCUAACUGGUUUGAGAGGAUGAUCAGUCACACUGGAACUGAGACACGGUCCAGACUCCUACGGGAGGCAGCAGUGGGGAAUAUUGCACAAUGGACGGAAGUCUGAUGCAGCAACGCCGCGUGGAGGAUGACACAUUUCGGUGCGUAAACUCCUUUUAUAUGAGAAGAUAAUGACGGUAUCAUAUGAAUAAGCACCGGCUAACUCCGUGCCAGCAGCCGCGGUAAUACGGGGGGUGCAAGCGUUACUCGGAAUCACUGGGCGUAAAGAGCAUGUAGGCGGGUAAAUAAGUUGGAAGUGAAAUCCUAUAGCUUAACUAUAGAACUGCUUCCAAAACUGUUUACCUAGAGUAUGGGAGAGGUAGAUGGAAUUUCUGGUGUAGGGGUAAAAUCCGUAGAGAUCAGAAGGAAUACCGAUUGCGAAGGCGAUCUACUGGAACAUUACUGACGCUCAGAUGCGAAAGCGUGGGGAGCAAACAGGAUUAGAUACCCUGGUAGUCCACGCCCUAAACGAUGUACACUAGUUGUUGCUAUACUAGAUAUGGCAGUAAUGCAGUUAACACUUUAAGUGUACCGCCUGGGGAGUACGGUCGCAAGAUUAAAACUCAAAGGAAUAGACGGGGACCCGCACAAGCGGUGGAGCGUGUGGUUUAAUUCGACGAUACGCGAAAACCUUACCUGGCCUUGACAUAGUAGAACUUUCUAGAGAUAGAUUGGUGCUAGCUUGCUAGACCUAUAUACAGGUGCUGCACGGCUGUCGUCAGCUCGCGUCGUGAGAUGUUGGGUUAAGUCCCGCAACGAGCGCAACCCACGUGAUUAGUUGCUAACAGUUCG
Molecule: ribosomal RNA, 1083 nt
Filed under: uncultured bacterium
Lineage: Bacteria
Description: bacterial SSU rRNA
Rfam family: Bacterial small subunit ribosomal RNA
Source: RNAcentral